AUGUAGGUAUGAUUACAACAUGACUAAAGUGUUAACUGCUGGUCCUCCUGCAGAGCACUUGAUACAUAACCAUCUCUGGACAGUUCUACGUCACAGUAAGAGAGACAGGCUUGGCUUCAAGAUU
RNAcentral lists this small nucleolar RNA (124 nucleotides) under Meriones unguiculatus (Mongolian gerbil). Its description in RNAcentral is "Small nucleolar RNA SNORA63 (ENSMUGG00000025743.1)". The record is from RNAcentral. Lineage: Eukaryota; Metazoa; Chordata; Mammalia; Rodentia; Muridae.